AUUAGAAAUUGGACAUGAACUGCUAAACAUGUAAUAGCACUGUAGCCUUGAAAAUAAAAAUAAAAAUAAAAACCCAAGUUGGAUUUGUUGGGAAAGAUCAAUAACCAACUGACCUGCUUAUGUAUAAUACACGCUGAACUUGACUGGCAACAAGUUAACAGCCAUUUUGUGACAAGAAGACUAAGUCAGUUGGAUAAUUUGCUCUUCAAUUUUUAACAUGCAACUACUAUGUAUCUUACAUAUAUUAGUAACACUAAAUUCUAGCAAAACAAACAUCCUUACCCAUACACACUCCUGGUAUAAGGAUCCUCCAACAAUAACUGACUAAAAUGGACUUGUAAGUGCUGCUCUCUCACCAGCUAAAUGGGCUUCUUUUGUCCUUCCAUGAAUGUCAACCAAAAUAUAAAGAGAUAUUUGAAGCCAAAGAAGCCACCACUGAUUUUUGAUGCGUUAUUUUUCUUUACGCUUGAAGAACCUGGCAGUGCACGAUAUGACUUUUCAGUCGGUUCCUGCCUGCUAGGCUUGACAAGAGAUUUGUGACCAAGGUCUUGAACUGUCCUUUCCCUGAUAUAGUUUCCCAUAAAUGCUCAGCAGUGGCUCCCCUCAAAUCCUCAGAUUUUGACACAUCAACCAAAGAUAUGCUCAUAUUAUUCCUGAUGAUGCAGAGUUUUCCAUUAAAUGGAACAAGUGCAGCUGCCUCUAAUGCCUGGGAAUUCCCCAAAUGCAUCCUACUGUCAAUAUGCUUACUCCAUGAAUCAGUCACACCAUCAUAAACCCUAAGUUUGCAGCCAUCCUUACAGUCCAAGGCAUAGAGGCGUCUGUUUAAGGAAGCACUCGGGUUUCUCCAGCCUGCAACCAUGCCAUCAUAAACAGGGUACCAGCUAUCAGUUUCUGGUUGGUAGACUUCGCUUAGAACCUGUCGGUGAGAUCCCAGCCCCUUCAGGAACCACUUGCCCUCGUAAACAACCCCAAUAAAGGGCACCAUUGCUGUGCUCAUAUCUGAAAUGAAGGACCAUCUAUUCUUGUUAGGAUCAUAAACUUCUGCUGAUCUCAGGGAUCGAUGGCCCCCCUCAUUUUCCCCACCAGCCACAUACAAACAGUUGUUUAUCACACAUGAACCAAAAAAAUGCCGUCGACGAAGCAUGUCUGGGGCACGGUGCCACUUAUUUGUCCUAGCACUAUAAAAUAUGACUCUUCUCAUUGAUCCUUUUAGAGGGUCUUUACCACCAAACAAGUAGAGGUGACAGCCACUGAGGACUGCACAGCCAAAUCCAAGGGCUUCAGAGUAUUCCUUUGGGACAGGGGGAAGGGGCUGCCAGAGUUGGUAAACUGGAUCAAAUGCAUGCCAUGAGAUUUUGCCAUCUCGGUCUCUCUUGAUGACAUAUAUCCAUUCUUCAGCAAUUCCAAGGCUUUUCCGAAGUGAGUAGAAGAAGUUUCCAGCCAAAAGACGAUACCAUCUUUUGCACACUAGCCGUAACUUACAGUGCUCUACUCUUG
RNAcentral lists this unclassified non-coding RNA (1497 nucleotides) under Hevea brasiliensis (rubber tree). The record is from RNAcentral. Lineage: Eukaryota; Viridiplantae; Streptophyta; Magnoliopsida; Malpighiales; Euphorbiaceae.